CCUACGGGACGCAGCAGUAGGGAAUCUUCGGCAAUGGACGAAAGCCUGACCGAGCAACGCCGCGUGAGUGAAGAAGGUUUUCGGAUCGUAAAACUCUGUUGUUAGAGAAGAACAAGUAGGAGAGUAACUGCUCUUACCUUGACGGUAUCUAACCAGAAAGCCACGGCUAACCGCGUGCCAGCAGCCGCGGUAAUACGUAGGUGGCAAGCGUUGUCCGGAUUUAUUGGGCGUAAAGCGAGCGCAGGCGGUCUUUUAAGUCUGAUGUGAAAGCCCUCGGCUCAACCGAGGAAGGUCAUUGGAAACUGGAGGACUUGAGUGCAGAAGAGGAGAGUGGAAUUCCAUGUGUAGCGGUGGAAUGCGUAGAUAUAUGGAGGAACACCAGUGGCGAAGGCGACUCUCUGGUCUGUAACUGACGCUGAGGCUCGAAAGCGUAGGGAGCAAACAGGAUUAGAUACCCUUGUAGUC
RNAcentral lists this ribosomal RNA (465 nucleotides) under uncultured bacterium. Its description in RNAcentral is "bacterial SSU rRNA". It matches the Rfam family "Bacterial small subunit ribosomal RNA", at positions 338 to 795 of the family's 1533-position model. The record is from RNAcentral.